Molecule: long non-coding RNA, 1523 nt
Organism: Setaria italica (foxtail millet)
Lineage: Eukaryota; Viridiplantae; Streptophyta; Magnoliopsida; Poales; Poaceae
Exons: 2
Source: RefSeq, a predicted model, not a curated record
GUGGUAUCAGCUAUCUUCGAUCUAAUUCUUUCUCUUCCGCUGGAUCUCUCUCACCAUGGCUGACUCCUCCUCCUCUAGCUCCGCCACCCACAACACCAACGCCUUUGCUCCCCUCUCCCCUGGUGCCCCGUCUGCCGCCACCAUUGCCGUCCUCAACAUCCACGGCCAUGUCCCUGUCACUCUUGAGCUCACUUUCCAGAAGUUUGCCCUCUCCGACCAUGUCGACGGCUUCCUUGAUGCCAUCCUGAUGCGCCACGACGCCAAGUGGAUGCAGAAUGAUGCGUCCAUCAUCUCCUGGCUCUACGCGAUAGUGACAAAGGACAUCAUGGAUGCAGUGUACAAGCCUUGUCUCUGCGCCUAUGAGGUGUGGCAGGCCAUCACUGGGCUCUUCCUUGACAACAGCCUGCAGAGAGCCGUCUUCGUCCAAACAUGAGCAUCACGGAGUAUUGUGGGCGCCUCAAGCGGCUCUCCGACACCCUCGCCGACGUCGGUGCCGCCAUCACCGAUCAGGCCCUGGUGGUCAACACACUACGCGGCCUCAACAACAAGUUCAGCAGCACCAUCAUUGUUCUCGGCGACAAGAAGCCCCCUCCAUCCUUUCUCUACACCCGCAACUACAUGCUCCAGGAAGAUAAGCGCAUCGAGUACUCCCGGAAGAUGGAGGCUCAAACGGCGCUGCUCGCCGCCACCACAGCUUCCUCUCCAACCAAGCCGAGACGUCCUCCUCGCCAACCUCUCCCCCGUCCAACGGCGGCAGCCACAAGAAGUGGAAGGCCACCGACCACAAGAAUCACUCCUCUGGAUCAGGAUGCAACAACUCGUUGCGCCCACCUACGAUGACCUCGACGCCGGCCUCCUCUCCGCAGUGGGCAUCUGCCUACAACCCUUGGACGGGCGUGGUCCAGGCUUGGCCACUACGCCUUGGCGUUCUAGGACCGCGACCUGGCGCUGCUUCGACCCAUGCACUGAUGGCCCUUGGCGCGCCAUCUGCCUCCUACGACGCCAACUUCAACGCCGGCGCCUCUGGCGUCCCGCCAGCCCUGUUCUCCACCCUUCACGGCAUGCCGACGCAGCAGCCGUACGGUGGUGGUUCUAGCGAAUGGUUCUUGGACACGGGGGCUUCGUCUCAUAUGGCUUCCAACUCCGGAUCUGCGCACCAAGAUGGCUCUCCUCCGAUGUGAUUCUUCAGGCAACCUUUAUCCUCUGCACAACAAGAAUGCUCAACCAUACUCCGGAGAUCAUCAAGCCCUUCAUGUAGAUCACACCACAGAGCUCUGGCAUGCUAGGCUUGGUCACCCCGGCACUACUCCUCUUCAUCGCAUUUUGAAUACAUUUGGUUUUUCAUGCUCCAAGUCUGACACUCAUACGUGCCAUGCUUGUCGUCUUGGCAAGCACGUACGGCUGCCAUUCUCUGAGUCCACUCAUGUUGCUUCCUUUCCAUUUCAACUCUUGCAUUGUGAUGUAUGGACGAGCCCAAUAAUGAGCAAUUCUAGAUACAAAUAUUAUCUUGUGAUGUUGGAUGA